GAUGAACGCUGGCGGCGUGCCUAAUACAUGCAAGUCGAGCGAACAGACGAGGAGCUUGCUCCUCUGACGUUAGCGGCGGACGGGUGAGUAACACGUGGAUAACCUACCUAUAAGACUGGGAUAACUUCGUGAAACCGGAGCUAAUACCGGAUAAUAUAUUGAACCGCAUGGUUCAAUAGUGAAAGACGGUUUUGCUGUCACUUAUAGAUGGAUCCGCGCCGCAUUAGCUAGUUGGUAAGGUAACGGCUUACCAAGGCAACGAUGCGUAGCCGACCUGAGAGGGUGAUCGGCCACACUGGAACUGAGACACGGUCCAGACUCCUACGGGAGGCAGCAGUAGGGAAUCUUCCGCAAUGGGCGAAAGCCUGACGGAGCAACGCCGCGUGAGUGAUGAAGGUCUUCGGAUCGUAAAACUCUGUUAUUAGGGAAGAACAAAUGUGUAAGUAACUAUGCACGUCUUGACGGUACCUAGUCAGAAAGCCACGGCUAACUACGUG
This 497-nucleotide ribosomal RNA is filed under the name uncultured bacterium. RNAcentral describes it as "partial 16S ribosomal RNA". It matches the Rfam family "Bacterial small subunit ribosomal RNA", at positions 28 to 507 of the family's 1533-position model. The record is from RNAcentral.